This is a long non-coding RNA of Arabidopsis thaliana (thale cress), 342 nucleotides long. RefSeq annotates it as other RNA. NCBI's taxonomy places the organism in Eukaryota, Viridiplantae, Streptophyta, Magnoliopsida, Brassicales, Brassicaceae. The transcript has a single exon. The record is from RefSeq.
GAAGCACACCAAGCAUCUAAAGGGCUUUGUUGUGUUCUUGUAGAUGGUACAGUUGGACUAGCAGCACGAGAGACAGCAAGAGAGACAGCAGGAGAAGUAGUAGGAGCAGGAGACACAAUUGGUGCAGGAGAACUAUCACGACCACCAGCAGAACCAUGAACACCAAGACCAGCAUCGCGAGCAAGAGCAACAAGUUCAGGUGGAAUGAUUGUUACUCCGAGAGACUUCAUAAUCGCAUUCAUCGCAAGUCGGGUUGUCGCCAACUCGUCCAUUACCUUGCCUACACCAGACUUCAACACCAACAUGUCUUCCUUGAGUGCUUCAUUGUUUUCCUUGAGUGCC